Non-coding RNA from Characodon lateralis, 98 nucleotides. NCBI's taxonomy places the organism in Eukaryota, Metazoa, Chordata, Actinopteri, Cyprinodontiformes, Goodeidae. The record is from the annotation of a GenBank genome assembly.
GCCUUCAUUAGCUCAGUUGGUAGAGUGGAGGACUGUAGAGAGUUUACCUAGGCAUCAUUAGGUCGUUGGUUCGACUGUCUCAAAGGAUUUGAGCUACA